UCGAGAAUUUUUCUCAAUGGGGGAAACCCUGAAGGAGCGACGCCGCGUGGAGGAUGAAGGUCUUCGGGUUGUAAACUCCUGUCAUUUGGGAACAAGGUGCGCGCGUUAACUGCGCGCGCAUUGAUAGUACCAGAAGAGGAAGAGACGGCUAACUCUGUGCCAGCAGCCGCGGUAAUACAGAGGUCUCAAGCGUUGUUCGGAUUCAUUGGGCGUAAAGGGUGCGUAGGUGGCGCGGUAAGUCGGGUGUGAAAUUUCGGAGCUUAACUCCGAAACUGCAUUCGAUACUGCCGUGCUUGAGGACUGGAGAGGAGACUGGAAUUUACGGUGUAGCAGUGAAAUGCGUAGAGAUCGUAAGGAAGACCAGUGGCGAAGGCGGGUCUCUGGACAGUUCCUGACACUGAGGCACGAAGGCCAGGGGAGCAAACG
Molecule: ribosomal RNA, 426 nt
Filed under: uncultured Candidatus Udaeobacter sp.
Lineage: Bacteria; Pseudomonadati; Verrucomicrobiota; Spartobacteria; Chthoniobacterales; Chthoniobacteraceae
Description: bacterial SSU rRNA
Rfam family: Bacterial small subunit ribosomal RNA
Source: RNAcentral